Long non-coding RNA from Gorilla gorilla gorilla (western lowland gorilla), 1026 nucleotides. RefSeq lists it as uncharacterized. NCBI's taxonomy places the organism in Eukaryota, Metazoa, Chordata, Mammalia, Primates, Hominidae. The record is from RefSeq and is a predicted model, not a curated record. The transcript has 3 exons.
UCACAAAAGAAGUGAAUAUGCCCUGCCCCACCUUAACUGAUGACAUUCCACCACAAAAGAAGUGUAAAUGGCCAGUCCUUGCCUUAAGUGAUGACAUUACCUUGUGAAAGUCCUUUUCCUGGCUCAUCCUGGCUCAAAAAGCACCCCCACUGAGCACCUUGCGACCCCCACUCCUGCCCGCCAGAGAACAAACCCCCUUUGACUGUAAUUUUCCUUUACCUACCCAAAUCCUAUAAAACGGCCCCACCCUUAUCUCCCUUCGCUGACUGUCUUUUCGGACUCAGCCCGCCUGCACCCAGGUGAAAUAAACAGCCAUGUUGCUCACACAAAGCCUGUUUGGUGGUCUCUUCACACAGACGUGCAUGAAAUUUGGUGCCGUGACUCGGAUCGGGGGACCUCCCUUGGGAGAUCAAUCCCCUGUACUCCUGUUCUUUGCUCCAUGAGAAAGAUCCACCUACGACCUCAGACUGACCAGCCCAAGGAACAUCUCACCAAUUUUAAAUCAGGAGCUUGCUACACGUGCUGGAAAUCUGGCCACUGGGCCAAGGAAUGCCCGCAGCCCGGGAUUCCUCCUAAGCCGUGUCCCAUCUGUGUGGGACCCCACCAAAAAUCGGACUGUUCAACUCACCUGGCAGCCACUCCCAGAGCCCCUGGAACUCCGGCCCAAGCCUCUCUGACUGACUCCUUCCCAGAUCUUCUCGGCUUAGCAGCUGAAGACUGACACUGCCCGAUCGCCUCGGAAGCCCCCUAGACCAUCAAGGACGCCGAGCUUCGGGUAACUCUCACAGUGGAAGCCCAAUCUAAUCACGAGAUAAACAUCAGACAAAUCCCAAGGAAAGGACAUUCUACAAAAUACCUGGCCAGUACCCUUCAAACCUGUAAAGUAAUCAAAAACAAGGAAAACCUGAGAAGCUGUCACAGCCCAGAAGUGCCUAAGGAAAUAUGGUGGCUAAGUGGAAUGUGGUUUUGGGCUGCAAACCUGGAACAAAAAAAAAAGACAUUAAGUAAAAACUAGAGAAAUCUAAA